This 1123-nucleotide long non-coding RNA is filed under the name Anser brachyrhynchus (Pink-footed goose). RNAcentral describes it as "lncRNA (ENSABRG00000022679.1)". Lineage: Eukaryota; Metazoa; Chordata; Aves; Anseriformes; Anatidae. The record is from RNAcentral.
AGAGUCUUUAUUAUAUAGAAAUAUACUCCAUCCUACUUAACAUAAACUGACCUUGCUCUGUGUCUUCUGAUGUAAGGCACAUUCACCUGACCUGCAUCUGGAAAUGGAGUUGCAGCUCUUCAGACAAAUUAAGGAUAUCAAAAUGCCUGACUUCCAGGAAGUUCUGCACCACUGUACUCCCAUAUAUUACUGAUGUGAUGGCUAUCUGAAGAAAUAGGCAAUGACCUAAUUCCUUAGCUAAUAGAAUUUUUCCUAUGGACUUAGCUGGUGCAGGAAUUUUUUGGGGGGAGGAAAAUGAAUUAUGCCAAUAAAAGCAGAGUCCUGUCAGUAAUGUUCAUUUAGUCCAUAUGGAGCAAAACCAUAAAGGCCUCAAUUUCUAACAGUAGCCACCAUGACUCUGGCUUUUGCUAUGGCUCUGCUGGAUCACUUUUCCAGUCCCUUUGACUGAUUGUUCAUAUUCAUGUCCUGUGUGCUUGCAAAACACUGUUGCAGUUAAUUUUGUGCGAGUGAUAAUUCCCAUGAUUCCCAUCUCACCCCUACACUCCUGCAAUUACUCUUGUUCCUUCACUACAGAGAAUUAGUCUCACAUUUUUAUAUUAUUUUUGAAACAUUUCUCACACAGAGCUCUGCUUAUGUCUGCAAAUUUAAUACCUGUUCCAGCAUGCUGUACUUGUCCUGUCCUUGAUUUACUAUUUGAAAUAAUAAAUGCAGAGCAUUUAUAUAACACUUUGCCUAUGGAGACUCCAUGGUGCAGAACAAAAAAGCCGAGUCACUCUCCACCGCAGACUGUCAGGAGAUAAGGCAGGCUCUCACCAGGACUGCUGCAGACAGGUGUUUCACAUACCUUUAUGCUGCCCUUUGACCCCCCUGGUAUGUAUAUUGAGAUGCUAAGCUGUCCUAAAGCAGCGUAGCUCUGUGAAAGCCAGCAGAAUGACUCCACUUAAAGCCAGCUGACGGCUUUGGUCAUAAACAUCCCAGGCCCUCCUGUGAACAGACAGAUUGAAGCUUGCUUUUUAAGAUGCAGAUGGAAUAUCGAUUGAAGAGUAGAUGAAGACCACCAGGAUAGUUUUGUUUCCAGUGCAAGCAUCAUUCUUCUUUAUAGAUUAAAAGUGUGUCCAUGCAA